AAUAAGCCGAAACCUUACAUCAAGGUGCGGGGGACGAAAGCUGAAAACGAAUCUGUGAGGUAUGAACACACGUUUUCUUGGGGUGAAGCGCAUCAACAGGAUGCGCCGGGAACGUUCCUUUUUUUCCGAAUCCGACAACUAACUCCGCAGGCGCAGUUAAAAGGA
Molecule: small RNA, 165 nt
Filed under: uncultured Paenibacillus sp.
Lineage: Bacteria; Bacillati; Bacillota; Bacilli; Caryophanales; Paenibacillaceae
Description: ydaO/yuaA leader
Rfam family: c-di-AMP riboswitch aptamer (ydaO/yuaA leader)
About the family: This family represents a conserved RNA structure found upstream of the ydaO and yuaA genes in Bacillus subtilis and related genes in other bacteria. The ydaO/yuaA element is thought to act as a genetic "off" switch for the ydaO and yuaA genes in its native state.
Source: RNAcentral